GCUGGGGGAAGGGCCUGGGGAACUGACUCAGACUUCAGCUUCAACCAGGAGCUGGUGACAUUAGACUCCACAGGCUGGGUCGUGGUCCAGUGGCCUCCCCUGGAAGAGUGGCUGGACGAUGCCUCUUCAAGGACUCUGUGCUCUGCUUGAGGUUAACGAGUGAGGCCCGAGUCAGGGAGCCAGAGCCUCCCCGACCCCCAGCUGCCGCUCAAGAUGGCAGUCUUGCCCAGGAGGCCCUGGCCUGGCUUUGUGUUUGGCCCAGACAGGCAAGUGGACCCCAGGACCACUGGGACUGGUCGGUGUGGUUAAUGCAGUAGGUACAGCAAUGCCUGUCCAACAGAAGCCGGGAGGGGAAGUCAUGAGGCCACAGGGCAUGAUAGGGCCAGGUUCCUGUGUCCUUCCUCGUAGGAGGGUGAGUCUAUCAGGCAAGGAAGACACAUCGCCCCAGACACAAGUGCCUGCACCUGAGCACCUCAGUAUUGGUGCUGGGCACAUUCCUGGCUGGAUACUUUUUGUUUUUUUGCUGUGGAGCCUGGCCUGUGCAUUGAAGGAUGUUUAGAAGUGUCCUUUGUCCCCACCUGGCAGAUACCAACAGCCCUUCCUUCUACCUGGGACAACCAAAAAUAUCUCCAGACAUUGUCCCAGGUUCCCUGGAGGGCAGAAUUCUUCCCUACUGAGUACCACUGCUCUACUCCAUGCAGACCAGAUUCUCCGCGUUUUUAGGAUGGAAUAUGGGCCAGUGCAGAAAGACAAGGUGGAGCCUGCGUGUUUGGUUCAUGGUCAUUCCCUUCGGAUGCUCGGAGGAAAGGACCUGGGUCCUGGCCUGACAGAAGUGUGGGAAGUCUGUAUGCCUUCAGACAUGGCCGCUGCUGGCCGGGGCUGCAGAUGGGCUCAGAAGGCCCCUCUCACUUUGCCUCGGUGAAGAAAGCGUGCGCCAAGAGCUG
RNAcentral lists this long non-coding RNA (944 nucleotides) under Marmota monax (woodchuck). The record is from RNAcentral. Lineage: Eukaryota; Metazoa; Chordata; Mammalia; Rodentia; Sciuridae.